Macadamia integrifolia is the source of this 652-nucleotide long non-coding RNA. RefSeq lists it as uncharacterized. The record is from RefSeq and is a predicted model, not a curated record. NCBI's taxonomy places the organism in Eukaryota, Viridiplantae, Streptophyta, Magnoliopsida, Proteales, Proteaceae. The transcript has 2 exons.
AUAGGUGGGUUGGGUUUGUCCCUCAAAGUGGGCCAAAUCACCAAAUGGAUCACCAGUAUUAGUAGCCCAAAACCCAGCAUCGAGAGUUGUAAAUCUCUGGCACAUUCAAGUUCUAGUUUAAAUUGAUACAAUAAAUCGAUGGAGGUCGCUGUCAUCGGGUCUCUGCAACUCCAUUCGGACGAUGUUUUUCUUAUGGAGAUGAUCAUGUAAUGAAGAGUGUUCUCGGCAUUGUCAAGAACAGUAGUGACUAGUUUUCAUGGCUGUUUUUUUAUUCUUUCUGUUAUCGUCGGGUUUGCUAAUCCAGGUUCCUAGUCGGAACCAUUUUAUCGAGGUCGACAACUUCCAGACCAAUGGGUUGAUGCGGGGGGCUAGGAAACUUGGCUAGGCCAUAGGGAUUGGAUUGUGAACAUUGGUUCAAUACAACAGAAGACAUAAAUAUCAGUGGAGAUGAUUCAACAGACACCUCAGUGUUGACCAAUCAAUUUCAUUGGGAAUUAUCAAGGAUUGUUGAAUCCUUAUUUCUAUGGAUGUUGUAAUCAAGUUUGGGUCACAAAUUAUAUUAAUCCUUUUUUUUUUUUUUCAAAAUGUAAAUUUAUAUUUAGUUGUUUAGCUUAUUUUGAUAUGAAAUGGAAACUCGGAGUUUUUGCAUUUU